This 234-nucleotide long non-coding RNA is filed under the name Capsicum annuum. RNAcentral's name for it is "long non-coding RNA (CANN_LNC015400)". Lineage: Eukaryota; Viridiplantae; Streptophyta; Magnoliopsida; Solanales; Solanaceae. The record is from RNAcentral.
UCUGUUGAAUCUCUUAGACAGUAUAACAUACAAUUUUUUGAAAAUUAAAUAACAAGAACAGUAAUAAAAUUAAACUUGUUCACAAAUAAUAACAAUAGCAAUAGAUGUGUUCACUAAUAACAAAAAUAAAAAGAUUAAAUGUGUUUCUAUGAAACAUUUCGCUCGGAGUAUGUAGUCUUUUUGUGUCCAACACUUUUGUAUAUGUAACAUUUAUUUUUCUUGGUUGAAAAUGAU